RNAcentral lists this long non-coding RNA (574 nucleotides) under Elaeis guineensis (African oil palm). RNAcentral describes it as "long non-coding RNA (EGUI_LNC010590)". Lineage: Eukaryota; Viridiplantae; Streptophyta; Magnoliopsida; Arecales; Arecaceae. The record is from RNAcentral.
UCUAUUAGUUGCUUAUUACAAUUCAUUUUUUCUAUUUCUGGUAGCACAUUAGGCACCUGGCAGAGUCGAUGUUAUUGUCAAGUUGGAGUUACAUUUCCUUGGACAAGAACUAAUGAGAUCUUGUUUUUCAUCCUUCUUACAUACUGUUGUACUUGUUGAUGUGGUUGCAGAUAUUAUUUUGGAAUGUUUUCUAUGGAUCUUUGUAUCUCAUGUUUUGUUUAUUAUACUUUUUAUUGCCUCCUUGGAACAGGGUGAUCAUAGAUUACUCAACAAAAACAGGAAUGGGCAGAAGGAGCAAGCUUCCAAAGACCAUUGUUAUUCCUCUCUGUGUCACUAUUUCAUAAUAUUAGCCACAUGACAGUAUAUAUUUCUUGGUGACAAAAUCAUGUCAGCUAUGCAACCUAUUCAUCUCAAGAAACCGAUGGCUAUUUGCUAUCUCAUAGCACUUGCUUUUCUCUCUAUUCUAUUGUAAAAGCUGCUGAUUUAAUUUUAAUUGAUUUCUUGGCGCUUAAGAGCCUUACUGCAUUGGUAUAUACUUUACUUCACUGGAAUGGUUAUUUGUUAUGGUUCUUUG